GGCUCUGCUCAGUGACCUUGACCCCAGGGAGCACAUUUCCAUUAAAGUUGACACCUCCAGCUUCUCUCUAUCUGGGCCCCUCAGAAAGUAUCCAUCGGAUGUGGCCCAUGACACCCAACCUUUGGCCUAACUUUGGGGGUCUGCCCUCCCCUUCACCCUGCUGCCAGCAGUACACGAGCCACCGAGUGCCCUCUGACUUUCCAGGCGGGCGUCGAGGCGCUGCGUGCCCUGCACUGCGGGGAAGAAGAUGAAGAUUCUGAGGGGCCCUCUCAGGCCCUGCUUCCGAGAUCUGGGGUGAAGGGGAAACACCCUCUACUCUUCUCCUUUGGGGUUAGAGAGGGGACUCACAGGACUUCAACGGCUCUUUCCAAAACUCCGCUUCUUAUCCCCAACCGCUGCCCGUGCUUUAGACCCUCCGUGUGUGAGGAGUUUGCACCCUUCAGAGUUUCAGCUGGAAAGUGGAUCUAUCGUCUUGGUGCUUCAGAGGAAACUUCUACAAUAUUCAGAUGGACGGGGCUCUCAGCCCCUCGACCACAAGGCUGUUCCAGCCUGAGCAGGAGGAGACGCUAUGCCAAGGCCCAGCUGUGGGAGAGUCUGCGUUUCCCGUGCCAUCCACUUGGAAAGGGCCUUCGUGCAGUCAGGGACUGGUGUGAUGGGGAGAAGGAGCCCAGUUUUCUUCUUGGGCGUUCCAGCCAAAUCAGGCUUGUUGAAGCCCUUCCCUGACUGCCAAGAGGGAGACCACUGCCUCCAGCCGGGAGUGCAGGAUGCCCAUUCUCACGUGGAUUCUCGUCCAUUGGAAUCUGGAGACAGGCCUGGACUUGGAGCCUUCUGCUCGUUGUCUGACCACAGGCAAGCCACUCCACCUCUCUGAGCUUUGGUCUUCUCGUUUGCACAAUAGGCAACUGGAAGUGAAAGUAUGGCUGCCAACAGGGAGACGCCUGCUAGACCGUGGUUGUUACAAAGCAGAAUCGUGGUCUAGCAGGGGGAAUAAUGCAUCCCAACCAGCGUCAGAAGGAGGCGCCAGCAGAAGGCCCGCUGCUCCCACGGGCUAAGGGGAUGAAUGACGGAGGCCAGGACCUUCCCAGGGCGUGCCUGCAGGCUUCUCCACCUAGACUGUCGUGGCCCAACCUCAGGCCAGCCCAGGCAACAGCGAGGCAAGGCCCGGCCUGGGUCUGCCGCCUCUCAGCCCAUUGGCCCUGUGGAUGCUGCGUUGCAAAACCACACUGUUUUGUUCUGACUUCCUCUUGGGUUCCCAGGAAGUUUAUUUACAGAAGUAAAAUUGCCUCGUAACGUAAAAAAAUAUUUUUUUUGCUGUGGUAAAAUAUACACAACACAAAAUUUACCAUUUUAACCACUUAAUGUAAAAAUGUACAACUGCAUGGUGUUAGUUCACAAUGUGCACAUUCCAGAUGUUGCAUAGCCAUCACCGCCAUUUG
RNAcentral lists this long non-coding RNA (1436 nucleotides) under Equus caballus (horse). RNAcentral's name for it is "lncRNA (ENSECAG00000040621.3)". The record is from RNAcentral. Lineage: Eukaryota; Metazoa; Chordata; Mammalia; Perissodactyla; Equidae.